RNAcentral lists this ribosomal RNA (253 nucleotides) under uncultured bacterium. RNAcentral's name for it is "partial 16S ribosomal RNA". It matches the Rfam family "Bacterial small subunit ribosomal RNA", at positions 524 to 776 of the family's 1533-position model. The record is from RNAcentral.
UACAGAGGUCUCAAGCGUUGUUCGGAUUCAUUGGGCGUAAAGGGUGCGUAGGUGGCGCCGUAAGUCAGGUGUGAAAUUUCGGAGCUUAACUCCGAAACUGCAUUUGAUACUGCGGUGCUUGAGGACUGGAGAGGAGACUGGAAUUUACGGUGUAGCAGUGAAAUGCGUAGAGAUCGUAAGGAAGACCAGUGGCGAAGGCGGGUCUCUGGACAGUUCCUGACGCUGAGGCACGAAGGCCAGGGGAGCAAACGGG